Molecule: ribosomal RNA, 253 nt
Filed under: uncultured bacterium
Lineage: Bacteria
Description: partial 16S ribosomal RNA
Rfam family: Bacterial small subunit ribosomal RNA
Source: RNAcentral
UACGUAGGAUGCAAGCGUUGUCCGGAAUUACUGGGCGUAAAGGGCGAGCAGGUGGCACUACAAGUCUGAUGUAAAAUCUCCCGGCUUAACUGGGAGGGGCCAUUGGAAACUGUAGAGCUGGAGUGCAGGAGAGGCUAACGGAAUUCCCGGUGUAGUGGUGAAAUGCAUAGAUAUGUCUCAGAACACCGAUUGCGAAGGCAGCUUACUAUGGUCUUAUUGACGCUGAGGCACGAAAGCGUGGGGAGCAAACAGG